Molecule: transfer-messenger RNA, 198 nt
Filed under: Hyphomicrobiales bacterium
Lineage: Bacteria; Pseudomonadati; Pseudomonadota; Alphaproteobacteria; Hyphomicrobiales
Description: partial transfer-messenger RNA
Rfam family: Alphaproteobacteria transfer-messenger RNA
About the family: Bacterial tmRNA, also known as 10Sa RNA or SsrA, is named for its dual tRNA and mRNA-like properties.
Source: RNAcentral
AGGCUUCAAAUCGGGACUGCGAUGGCCUAUAUUGGCAAUUGCCGCCUCACCGCGGCUAUGGCGAUAAAUGACGACCGCAAUAAACCAUUCGGACCCGGGGGCGGUACCCGGCGCCUCCACCUGGAACCGGACCCGCCGGUUCCAGGUGGGGGCGAAAUAGGAUCGACGAGGGCGUAAAGGGUUUGUUUUUGCCCGGCA